GUUUUUUGCAUGAGCUGAGAGAUAAAGCUGGAAUCAGCCGUUUGUGGGGUUUAAUAUCUGGGGGUAAAAUGGUGGCUAGUGCUCAGGACUUGGUAAUUUGUGAGUUGCGUGAGAAAAAGUUUGUGUUUGUGCUUCAUUUGGAUGGGACGCUACGAAUUUGGGAUCUUGCAUCUCAUAGCAGGGUCUUUACUCAUAACAUGGGUGUUAUGGAAAUGGCAGGAGGAUAUUUUGUCUUUUGUAUCUUCUAUUUUCUUAAGAAGGCUGCUUCUUCCCGGGGUUCAUCUUAAUGCUGCUUUGUAUGCAACUCUAGUUGAGUAUAACAGGCAUUUGGCUGAGUCUGAGUUACAUACAUUAACUGCUGAUGAACUGAAAAAGGAGAUACUUUCUCUCAUAGAACAUGAGGUUGCAUCUGAAAAGGUGUCCAUAUUACAUUGCUGGAAAUGCUUUUUCACUCGCUAUUUCCAUAACUGGUGCAAGAACAACGCAUUAUAUGGCUUGCUUGUUGAUUCCUCUUCUGAUGCUGUUGGUUUAAUCAGAAAAAAUUCUGUUUCACUUUUUCGAUCUUUGGAAGAUAUCGAGCAGAUUGUAGAAGGCUCUUCAGCUGAAGUUAUGGGGCUCACAUGCCUUGUGCAUUUAUUUGAUCUUAUCGAAUGUGAAAUUCUGAUCGACCUGCUUAGAUGUGUUAUAAGUUUCAGCCAACAAUUGGGCAAAACUGCUUCUUCUAUAUUUUAUGAAUCACUUUUAACUGCGCCAGUGAUCUCUUCUGAAGAUAUUGUUCACUGUAUAAUGAAGAUUCUGGAAACUGGUUAUUGUAUAUCAGGUCCAGUGCUCCAAACUUCUACUUCUGGGGAUAAUAUAAUUGUUCUGGAGAAGGAACUAGCAGAUCAUAAAAGAUUGAGGAAACUUUCUGUUGAUAUGUUUUUGUCUCUUCAAGGUUUGUACAGAAAGGCUUCUGAAUGGGGCAAGAUUUUAAAUGUAUUUGAAGGUUUCCUGAAAUUUUUGGUUCCACAGAAAAUAAUACGUAAGUUUGAUACCGAAAUUUCAUCAAACAUAAAUUCCUCCAUUAUAGUACACACCGCAUAUCAGAUUGCAAAGGUGAUGUUUGAAACUGCCUGGGAUUUUCUUCUAUUUUUAAGCUAUUUGGUGGACAUCAGUGGUCAGGUCCAUUUGUCACCUGAUGAUAUAACCAAAAUACAACUUGAGUUAGUUCCAAUGCUUCAAGAAACUAUUUUUCAAUGGCUAGUUAUCAUCUUCUUUGCCAUCACACCUGCUACACCAGCUGUUACUGAGGACUUCGAUUCUAAACUUUCAUCAUUACAAAUAGAUAACAACUUGGGGAGACAAUUAUGGAAUGAGAAGCUUGGCAGAUGUGACUUCAAAAUGGCUUUUAUAUUCUUGCUAAACGUUAAAAGUUCAUCUGUAGACCAUAGCCACCUUUUUUCAGAACGUUUCUCAUAUAUGCAGAGCUUUAUUAAUAGGAUGAGAGACUUCAUCAGUUUAGUCAUUUGGGGCCAGGCUGGUGGAUCUUCUACUUUCUUGAGUCGCUCCAUUGAUCUUGCAUUUAUCCUUUUCAAGCAUGAUCAGUAUGGUGCUGCUGAGCAAUUGCUUAUGAUGGUGGAGGGUCAUUUGCUAAAGAAAAAGACAUCCCAUAGUAUUCAAGACACUGAUGGUGGAUGGUGCAUACGUCAUCAUCUUCUAGGAUGUUGCCUACUUGCACAGGUGCAGGGUGGAUUACAUGCAACAAAGAAAGAUAAAAAGGUUUCUGAUGCCAUUUGCUGUUUCUUUAGGUCUUCGUCAGGAAAUGGUGCAUCUGAGGCUCUGCAGAGUUUAUCUGCUGACAUAGGAAUUCCAUAUCUUGGUUUCAGUGGUUAUACAUCAAUUGCUAUAUGGAGGCUUCAAUACUAUCAAUGGGCUAUGCAGUUAUUUGAACGUUAUAAUGUGAGUGAAGGUGCUAGCCAGUUUGCUCUUGCUGCACUUGAGCAGGUUGAUGAAGCUCUACAGACGCAAGAUGAAAAGUGCAUGCAUGGAAAGCUCAGUUAAUAAAUCAGUGACAACCAUCAAGGGACGACUGUGGGCGAAUGUUUUCAUAUUUGCAUUUGACCUUGGUCGGUUUCAUGAUGCAUAUUGUGCAAUUAUUUCAAAUCCAAAUGAGGAGAGCAAAUACAUCUGCUUGAGGCGGUUCAUAAUUGUUCUUUAUGAACAAGGUGCUAUAAAGAUUCUUUGCAGUAAUAAACUUCCCCUUAGUGGUUUAGUAGAAAAAGUAGAACAAGAACUUGCUUGGAAGGCUGAACGAUCAGACAUUUCGGCAAAGCCAAACUUGUAUAAAUUGCUCUAUGCAUUUCAAUUCCACCAGCAUAAUUGGCGACGAGCAGCAAGCUACAUAUACUUGUAUUCAGCUCGUUUGAGAACUGAAGCAGCUUUGAAAGAUAACCAAGGCAGUUCCAUGAUUUUGCAAGAGAGGCUGAAUGCGCUCUCUGCUGCAGUCAAUGCAUUGCAUCUUGUUCAUCCUCCAUAUGCUUGGAUUGAU
This is an RNA transcript of Lotus japonicus, 2527 nucleotides long. It is a transcript of the gene named nuclear pore complex protein NUP160-like, with no coding region annotated. The transcript has 12 exons. Lineage: Eukaryota; Viridiplantae; Streptophyta; Magnoliopsida; Fabales; Fabaceae. The record is from RefSeq and is a predicted model, not a curated record.